RNAcentral lists this ribosomal RNA (90 nucleotides) under Prevotella sp. Lineage: Bacteria; Pseudomonadati; Bacteroidota; Bacteroidia; Bacteroidales; Prevotellaceae. RNAcentral also lists the same sequence under 1 other name. The record is from RNAcentral.
CCCACCUCUUCCCAUUCCGAACAGAGAAGUUAAGCCCGCUUGCGCCGAUGGUACUGCAAUGCAAUGCGGGAGAGUAGGUGGCUGCCUUCU